AAAAAAAAAACAUUCCGGAAGUGUUCCAGGCCUCUAGGGGGCGCGCUACGUGGAACAGAUUGAUGUCUGACCAGACAUAGAGGGAACGAACAAGAGUGCUGCAAAUUGAAGCCGGAGGAAACGAAGUUGAUCGAAGUGGAAAAAGACGAUAUAUAAAAAGACCUCUCAGGCACCCACAACCAGCGUCUGAUCGGGAUGGAGCACCAACCCCAUUCCAGGAAGAGGUCCAGUCUGCCCCGGGUCAGAACCACUUCUAUAGCAACUACACAACUGUGUAUGCACUUAUCAUUAUUGAUAGCCAGUCUGAGCCAGAAGACACAAUGGAGCAACGCACAGAAUACCUGACUGCGGCACACAUUGUUGCAGAACUCUCUGCAAAAAUAACAAAUACAUCUUGCAGCAGGUUCAAUAUGAAUAGAGCCAAUGUGUGGGAUGGAGCAAUCCGCGGCUUCAAAGGUGCCUCAUUCGACCCCUCUCAUGAGAUGUCAGUUAAGUUCACUGAUGAUGAGGGACACACUGAGGAUGGAGGGGACAC
Gymnodraco acuticeps is the source of this 535-nucleotide long non-coding RNA. RefSeq lists it as uncharacterized. Lineage: Eukaryota; Metazoa; Chordata; Actinopteri; Perciformes; Bathydraconidae. The record is from RefSeq and is a predicted model, not a curated record. The transcript is spliced from 5 exons.